UGUCGCCCGCGCCGCCGUUCCCGAUGGAUGGGUGGAUGGAUCGAUCUGCGAUCUGCGUACGGCAGGGUAUAUGUACUGGCCGGAAUCCGGCAGCUCGCACUUGGGAGAUGCUUCGGUUAGCCGCCGCGGGCUCCGGCUCCGGCGGCUGCGUGCGCGCUUGCAGGAGAAGCCCCCGCACCGUGGGAAUCCAUGUCCAUCUGAAAAGCUUUCUUUCCUCCAGUCACUCACAAAACAAUAAAUUAUGAUAAAAGUGAUUGUGAAUUCACAAAUGAUUAAACAACAAACAGAAUAAAGCAAUAUCUUAUACUUUUACGUCUUUUU
Molecule: long non-coding RNA, 321 nt
Filed under: Oryza brachyantha (malo sina)
Lineage: Eukaryota; Viridiplantae; Streptophyta; Magnoliopsida; Poales; Poaceae
Description: long non-coding RNA (OBRA_LNC000650)
Source: RNAcentral